Molecule: long non-coding RNA, 321 nt
Organism: Scophthalmus maximus (turbot)
Lineage: Eukaryota; Metazoa; Chordata; Actinopteri; Pleuronectiformes; Scophthalmidae
Exons: 3
Source: RefSeq, a predicted model, not a curated record
AGCCAGGUGAAUGUGAUUGGGUUAGCUCGCGUGCUAGCAGGGCUAGCGGCGUCGUCCGAGGGGCAAGAGGAGCUUCCUGUUUGUCUGUCAACAAAGACAAAGAGUGGGACAUCGCCUGACGUCACGGGGACAUCGCUGACGUCACCACGUGUACAGCCUCUGUGUUUCAGAUGGAUGAAAUGGCUCAGGAGAUCUGACAUCGAGGCCCCUGUGACCUUCGCGCUCUGGACCGUCGACUUCCUCCAGCUGCGUGAGGGGAGACGUGGAACCGAGACUGAGCAAACAAAGACAUAGAAGGUUGGACCAAUGCUCUCCAAGCCG